UACUGGAGCCCUGGGCCACGGCAUUAUAGG
RNAcentral lists this non-coding RNA (30 nucleotides) under Homo sapiens (human). The record is from RNAcentral. Lineage: Eukaryota; Metazoa; Chordata; Mammalia; Primates; Hominidae.